CCUACGGGAGGCAGCAGUGAGGAAUAUUGGUCAAUGGCCGAGAGCCUGAACCAGCCAAGUAGCGUGCAGGAAGACGGCCCUACGGGUUGUAAACCUCUUUUGUCGGGGAGUAACGCGAGUCACGUGUGACUCAUUGAGAGUACCCGAAGAAAAAGCAUCGGCUAACUCCGUGCCAGCAGCCGCGGUAAUACGGAGGAUGCGAGCGUUAUCCGGAUUUAUUGGGUUUAAAGGGUGCGCAGGCGGCGGUUCAAGUCAGCGGUCAAAUUGCGGGGCUCAACCCCGUACUGCCGUUGAAACUGGAGCCCUUGAGUGCGCGGAAAGUAGGCGGAAUGCGUGGUGUAGCGGUGAAAUGCAUAGAUAUCACGCAGAACUCCGAUUGCGAAGGCAGCAUACCGGCGCGGAACUGACGCUCAUGCACGAAAGCGUGGGUAUCGAACAGGAUUAGAUACCCUGGUAGUC
Molecule: ribosomal RNA, 459 nt
Filed under: uncultured bacterium
Lineage: Bacteria
Description: partial 16S ribosomal RNA
Rfam family: Bacterial small subunit ribosomal RNA
Source: RNAcentral